RNAcentral lists this ribosomal RNA (501 nucleotides) under uncultured bacterium. RNAcentral's name for it is "partial 16S ribosomal RNA". It matches the Rfam family "Bacterial small subunit ribosomal RNA", at positions 30 to 523 of the family's 1533-position model. The record is from RNAcentral.
AUUGAACGCUGGCGGAAUGCUUUACACAUGCAAGUCGAACGGCAGCACGGACUUCGAUCGGGUGGCGAGUGGCGAACGGGUGAGUAAUGUAUCGGAACGUGCCCAGUCGUGGGGGAUAACGUAGUGAAAAUUACGCUAAUACCGCAUACGAUCUAUGGAUGAAAGCAGGGGGAUCGCAAGACCUCGCGCGAUUGGAGCGGCCGAUAUCAGAUUAGGUAGUUGGUGGGGUAAAGGCCCACCAAGCCAACGAUCUGUAGCUGGUCUGAGAGGACGACCAGCCACACUGGAACUGAGACACGGUCCAGACUCCUACGGGAGGCAGCAGUGGGGAAUUUUGGACAAUGGGCGAAAGCCUGAUCCAGCCAUUCCGCGUGCAGGAUGAAGGCCCUCGGGUUGUAAACUGCUUUUGUACAGAACGAAAAGGUUUCUACUAAUACUAGGAGCUCAUGACGGUACUGUAAGAAUAAGCACCGGCUAACUACGUGCCAGCCGCCGCGGUAA